CUGAUUUACAGACAGAUUGCUAUUGUAGUAAAAGUCUAGGAAAAUAUGGCAUCGUUGAUGAUGGAAACUGUCCAGUUUGUGAAUCCUGUACCAAUCAUCGUGGUCAUAUAUCUAACCAUACCAUAGCCCUGUACAGAACUUACGAUAAAAAUUGUGGGAGUGUACCUGAAAUAGGAAAUUCUACCUACACUAUAAUACAUGGUUAUGAUCAUGAGAGUGUCAAUGGAUUCGGUACUCAGUUGACCUUCACCUGCCUUGAGGGUUACGAAUUUCCUGACUUUCAGACAUCUAAAAUCAUUCAUUGUUGCAAUAACAAUACAUGGAACCUCCAACUUGAUUCCUGCAAAUUAAAGGAGUGUCCUGUCCCAAUUCCUGUACCUAAUAAUUAUAUCGAAGGCAAAUUGUACCAGUUUAACAGUACCGUGAAAUAUUACUGUAACCCGGGGUUUGAAUAUAGCACCGGUGCUACAUAUUACACCUCGGUGUGCCAGGCAAAUAAAGAAUGGACCAGCUUACCGCCAACCUGUGAAAGAAUAUCGUGUGUAGCUCCACCUAUUGUUGAGAAUACUAUUAUCACCGCCACACCACCAACAGGUUAUCUCUAUAAUGAUAGUAUUACUUAUACCUGUAUACUAAACUCAGAUAAACCAGACAACACAACACAGUCUACGAUAAGGUGUACAGAAAAUGGUACUUGGAGUGAAACACCGCCAGAUUGUGAAUUGUAUGCUUGUUCAACUCCACCCGAUGUAGUUGGUGUAGCAGAGAUAAUAAUGGUAACUCCUGAUAUAACCCAGUACAACUGUCUAGAAUCUUAUCAAUUUUCUGAUAAUACAACUCAGAAGAAUGCGUCCUGUGGUUUAGAUUUUCAUUGGAUACCUGUCAAUGAUAUCUGUAGAUUACCAGAUAAUUUGAUAACAACUGAGGGCUAUUUCUGUCAAGUACGAGACGGAAUUAGACGAACAACAAAUAACAUGAUCGCCUACAAAUCUCGCAGUAGAAUGGAUUGCGCUUUGAAAUGUGUGAGCAAUGUGGAGUGUUUAUCAUAUAACUUUCAUUCGGGUUAUGAAAAUAACUGCGAACUUUUGAUGCAACCACUAGAAGAUAUUCAGGACACUACUGAAGAACAUUGGUAUGGUUACAAUGUGGCGUAUCGCUUAACGUGCCCAUCCAAUACAAAUUGAAACUGUAUUGUAAAUAAAAAACGAACGCAGCCGAAAUAUGUAAUAAUAACAUGCAGAUAUAGGUUGCAAUAUUAUUAGCGGCUGGUAUUAAACAGAUGUUGCGUAAAAAAUAUGUUAAUUCUAGAAAAAUUACAUGUAACCAUUGGUGUAUAUAAAUGUUAUUGCAAGGAAUUAUAUAUUUAUUAUUCUAAAUGAAAAAGAGAAACAUCAGGAGCCUCUAUUAGCAUUUAUGUGAGAGUUUAAGCGCAAUUUUUGAAAAUAUAGGCGUUACAGCAGCAUUCUUCAGUUUGUAAAAUCUUUUGUUGCAUAGUGAUCGUAUAAUCUGAUAAAAAGACCGAGGAACUCUUUAAGAUGGAUGUUCAAUUACUGCUAUGUAGUUAUGUUGUGAUCUGUCAAGAUACAGAAUAUAUACAAAAUUAUAUUUAUUGGGUGUAAAAAGUUUUUUGUGAAAGCUAUUUUAAGCAGCAAUAUGAAAAUAGAGGUAGGAUAUUUUUAGACCACUGAUUGUUCCAUGGUUCAGUAAAAUGUCAAGUUAUUUACAAAUUAAUCACCCCUGCUGCAACUUCUAAACACGGGUGAUAACUUUGUAAAAUAAAUUUAAUACAUUGUUGAUUCCAAUUUUUAAAACAAAUCCCUUUUAAACAAACGAUUCGGUAUUCUGACCAAAAUUGCGUUGGUCUCGACCUUAUCCUACUACGAACAUACUUUUUUUUUUUAUUUUAGCCUUCUUAUAUGCAUAGAACUAAGCUUAUUUUUAAAUCGCAAGAAUUUUUUGAUUGUGCUUAUAUAUUCCUUUACGCUGCACAUGUCUUUUAUCUAAAUCUAACCAUGGAUGUUGUCUGAGGUAGGCUUUUGAAGACCAACCAGUAAAGAUCGCGUUAAGAUUAGUGAAACGGUUUAAGGUGAUUUGUACUAACCCUAUAAAGAACGAAACCUCACAUCAAAGAUUCUUAUAUCCGUUCAAAAAGCCAAUAUUGAUUUAGUUACAAUUUAAGUUUUAAAACGGGCUAAUAAUAGCACCCAAUAACAUAAAAUAUUUUUACUUUUUUGCUUGCUAAUAAACGCCAGAGAAAUAUUUUCUCCUCCAGAUUUUUAAAAAUAAAGAAACAUGAGUGGAUUUAGGCAGGUAGUUUAAUAUCUCGGGAAUGAAAUAGUUUUUGACACAGUAGAAAGAACACUUUAAACAAAAACAAAGGAUAAAGGCAGCUGGGGGUAAACAAAUAAAUCCAAAGCACAUUGUAGCCGGUAUUAUUUAUUUGGUAUUUAACCGUUUGUUGAUUCAGACGAGGUUUGUAUUUUUAACGUUCUUCAUAA
Long non-coding RNA from Patella vulgata (common limpet), 2498 nucleotides. RefSeq lists it as uncharacterized. The record is from RefSeq and is a predicted model, not a curated record. NCBI's taxonomy places the organism in Eukaryota, Metazoa, Mollusca, Gastropoda, Patellidae. The transcript has 6 exons.